Long non-coding RNA from Balaenoptera acutorostrata (minke whale), 914 nucleotides. RefSeq lists it as uncharacterized. Lineage: Eukaryota; Metazoa; Chordata; Mammalia; Artiodactyla; Balaenopteridae. The record is from RefSeq and is a predicted model, not a curated record. The transcript is spliced from 3 exons.
AUUAUAUCAUUAUAUCCCUUUUUCUCAGAAGGUAGCACUGUUCCAGGCGUCUUUUCAGAGGAUCAUCGGGUAUCCUGAACCAGGAGAAUGUGGCUCUCAGACGUCUCACUGGGACUGCAAAGGUGCUGAGUUUCAAAGGAAGAAUAGGAUGUGUCAUCACCCCCACCAGCUAACCCCAGUCCACUGUCGGCUCAGAGGACAGACGUUAUCAGGAAGAAACAGCCUGUUUGGAAGGAAUCAGUGAAAGACAGCAUUGGCAUUUAGAUCUGCGUGGCAAUCGGGAAGCCACAUGUGAACCGCAUUUCCUUCCUGGCAGUGUCUCCUGCCUACCGCCCCCAAACUGAUCUUACUCUAGUCCCGUGUUUCCUGCGUCAGAACAAUUACUCAGAACUCUCAGUGAUUCCCCACUGCCAGAAGGAUUCUCGGUCUCAAACCCACCUUUCCAACCUCGAGUCCUGCAUGAAUCCUUUGUUCCCAGUUGCCAGGUCUCCUCAUCUUCUGCCAAACCCUCCCCUGCGUUGCUGUUUGCUCAUAUCAUUCUGCCAGCUUGGAGUAUGAUUUUCCUAGCCUUCACGUUUUCUCUCCUUCGAAGAUAAACUAGUACAAAUCCCACCGUCUUCACUGAGCACCCAAAUCACCUCAAGAUUCCUUUCUUUGACUCCCAUCUCUUCAUUGUCUGCCUCACUUACUUUUCACAGAAUAUACAGUGCGUGCGCAAAGAUGAAAGUGUCACAUUUUCUUGUAUGUAUAUUCUUCUCCCCUUUCCUGCUACUCACGUGCAUUUAUUUUGGGGGUGAGGGAUGAAUGGAACUGGGUUUUGAAGGAUCCCUGAUCCCCUUCCCAACUCCCCACACAAUCAAACGAUAACUUCCAAUAGGGAUGACAAGAAAUGAAACAGCCUUUUAAAAAUAUCG